UACGUAGGUGGCAAGCGUUGUUCGGAAUUAUUGGGCGUAAAGGGCGCGUAGGCGGCCAGCACAAGUCAGUUGUGAAAUCUCCGAGCUUAACUCGGAACGGUCAACUGAUACUGUGCGGCUAGAGUGCGGAAGGGGCAACUGGAAUUCUUGGUGUAGCGGUGAAAUGCGUAGAUAUCAGGAGGAACACCUGUGGUGUAGACGUCUUACUGGACAGUAACUAACGCUGAGACACGAAAGCGUGGGUAGCAAACAGG
Molecule: ribosomal RNA, 254 nt
Filed under: uncultured bacterium
Lineage: Bacteria
Description: partial 16S ribosomal RNA
Rfam family: Bacterial small subunit ribosomal RNA
Source: RNAcentral